AUUUUGGACAAUGGGCGCAAGCCUGAUCCAGCAAUGCCGCGUGAGUGAAGAAGGCCUUCGGGUUGUAAAGCUCUUUUGUCAGGGAAGAAACGGUUGAGGCUAAUAUCCUCGGCUAAUGACGGUACCUGAAGAAUAAGCACCGGCUAACUACGUGCCAGCAGCCGCGGUCAUACGGAGGAUCCAAGCGUUAUCCGGAAUUACUGGGCGUAAAGAGUUGCGUAGGUGGCAUAGUAAGCAAGUAGUGAAAGCGUGUGGCUCAACCAUACUUACAUUACUUGAACUGCUAAGCUAGAGGAUGAGAGAGGUUAUUGGAAUUCCCAGUGUAGGAGUGAAAUCCGUAGAUAUUGGGAGGAACACCGAUGGCGUAGGCAGAUAACUGGCUCAUUCCUGACACUAAGGCACGAAAGCGUGGGGAGCAAAC
RNAcentral lists this ribosomal RNA (421 nucleotides) under uncultured bacterium. RNAcentral's name for it is "bacterial SSU rRNA". It matches the Rfam family "Bacterial small subunit ribosomal RNA", at positions 361 to 773 of the family's 1533-position model. The record is from RNAcentral.